Molecule: ribosomal RNA, 99 nt
Filed under: uncultured bacterium
Lineage: Bacteria
Description: partial 16S ribosomal RNA
Rfam family: Bacterial small subunit ribosomal RNA
Source: RNAcentral
CACACCGCCCGUCACACCAUGGGAGUCAGUUGCUCCAGAAAUGGCCGUGCUAACCCGCAAGGGAGGUAGGCCCUUAAGGAGUGACUGGUGACUGGGGUG